RNAcentral lists this ribosomal RNA (375 nucleotides) under Triticum aestivum (bread wheat). Its description in RNAcentral is "partial small subunit ribosomal RNA". Lineage: Eukaryota; Viridiplantae; Streptophyta; Magnoliopsida; Poales; Poaceae. The record is from RNAcentral.
GCAAUUUAUGGUCUGAAGCAGGCUCCUCGUGCUUGGCAUGCUCGUCUUGCAAUGGCUUUUCGUGCUCAUGGUUUUGCAUCAUCAACUGCUGACUCCUCAUUGUUUCUUCUUCAAAGGCCUGAGGUUACUAUGUACUUGUUGGUCUAUGUAGAUGAUAUCAUUUUGGUCAGCUCCUCUCAGUCGGCUGCUACUGCGCUUGUUCGCUCACUUGGUGCUGAUUUUGUGGUCAAGGACCUUGGGAAGCUUCAUUACUUUCUUGGUGUGGAGGUUACUUCUCGUGAUGCUGGCCUUGUUAUGACGCAGAAGAAGUACUCUCUGGAUUUGUUGCAGCGAGCUGGGAUGCUUAAGUGCAAACCGACGACUACACCCAUGUCU